Molecule: ribosomal RNA, 422 nt
Filed under: uncultured bacterium
Lineage: Bacteria
Description: partial 16S ribosomal RNA
Rfam family: Bacterial small subunit ribosomal RNA
Source: RNAcentral
GAAUCUUCCACAAUGGACGAAAGUCUGAUGGAGCAAUGCCGCGUGAGCGAAGAAGGUUUUCGGAUCGUAAAGCUCUGUUGUAAGGGAAGAACACGUACGGGAGUAACUGCCCGUGUCAUGACGGUACCUUAUUAGAAAGCCACGGCUAACUACGUUCCAGCAGCCGCGGUAAUACAUAGGGGGCGAGCGUUAUCCGGAAUUAUUGGGCGUAAAGCGUGCGUAGGCGGUUUAUUAAGUCUGGCGUGAAAUCCCACAGCUUAACUGUGGGUGGUCGUUGGAAACUGGUAAACUUGAGUACAGUAGAGGUAAGUGGAAUUCCAAGUGGAGCGGUGGAAUGCGUAGAUAUUUGGAGGAACACCAGUGGCGAAGGCGGCUUACUGGGCUGGAACUGACGCUGAGGCACGAAAGCGUGGGGAGCAAAC